GAUGAAGAACGUAGCGAAAUGCGAUAAGUAGUGUGAAUUGCAGAAUUCAGUGAAUCAUCGAAUCUUUGAACGCACAUUGCGCCCUGUGGUAUUCCUUAGGGCAUGCCUGUUCGAGCGUCAUCUAACCCCUCAAGCAACGCUUGGUGUUGGGCGCUUGUCCCGCCUCUGGCGCGGACUCGCCUUAAAAUCAUUUGGCGGCCUGUGUAUUGGCUUCGAGCGCAGCAGACUCGCGCCUCGGACCCUUUCGCGCAGGCGUCCAACAAGCCUAUACCCACAAUUUUGACCUCGGAUCAGGUAGGGAUACCCGCUGAACUUAAGCAUAUCAAUAAGCGGAGGA
This 337-nucleotide unclassified non-coding RNA is filed under the name soil metagenome. RNAcentral describes it as "partial contains 5.8S ribosomal RNA, internal transcribed spacer 2, and large subunit ribosomal RNA". The stretch from base 1 to 120 matches the Rfam family "5.8S ribosomal RNA", at positions 35 to 154 of the family's 154-position model. The record is from RNAcentral.